Molecule: unclassified non-coding RNA, 430 nt
Filed under: soil metagenome
Description: partial contains 5.8S ribosomal RNA, internal transcribed spacer 2, and large subunit ribosomal RNA
Rfam family: 5.8S ribosomal RNA (bases 1-120)
Source: RNAcentral
GAUGAAGAACGUAGCGAAAUGGGAUACGUAAUGUGAAUUGCAGAAUUCAGUGAAUCAUCGAAUCUUUGAACGCAUAUUGCGCUCUCUGGUAUUCCGGAGAGCAUGCUUGUUUGAGUAUCAGUAAACACCUCAACUCCCUUUUCUUUUUUGAAAUUGGAGCUGGACUUGAGUGAUCCCAACGCUUUCUUCCAAGAAAGUGGCGGGUUGCUUGAAAUGCAGGUGCAGCUGAACUUUUCUCUGAGCUAUAAGCAUAUCUAUUUAGUCUGCCUAAAAAACAGAUUAUUACCUUUGCUGCAGCUAACAUAAAGGAGACUAGUUCUUGUGCUGACUGAUGCAGGAUUCACAGAGACAGCUUCGGCUGACUUUGUAAACUCGAUCUUAAAUCAAGAAAGACUACCCGCUGAACUUAAGCAUAUCAAUAAGCGGAGGA